ACCUCCAUAGCUCAGUAGAUAGAGCACUGGUCCUGCAAAUCAAGGGUCGAGAAUUCGAUCCUCCCUGGGGGCA
This 73-nucleotide transfer RNA is filed under the name Echinostoma caproni. It matches the Rfam family "tRNA". From Rfam's summary of the family: Transfer RNA (tRNA) molecules are approximately 80 nucleotides in length. Their secondary structure includes four short double-helical elements and three loops (D, anti-codon, and T loops). The record is from Rfam by way of RNAcentral. Lineage: Eukaryota; Metazoa; Platyhelminthes; Trematoda; Plagiorchiida; Echinostomatidae.